UGACCUCACUUUUUCAAACUCUGUGCACUUCUAAUGGGGGGGCCCAGGAAAGGCGACUGGAAUGCGUGCCCCGCCCGUUUUAUUAAACAUUUAAAGUCAAUUGUAUGGGAUAAAGAAAUGAUAUAACAAAUAAAAACUUUCAACAACGGAUCUCUUGGCUCUCGCAUCGAUGAAGAACGCAGCGAAAUCUGAUAAGUAAUGUGAAUUGCAGAAUUCAGUGAAUCAUCGAAUCUUUGAACGCAUCUUGCGCUCGCUGGUAUUCCGGCGAGCAUGUCUGUUUGAGUGUCGUGAACUCUUCAACCCCCCCUUUUUCUUAUGGAGAUUGGGGCGCGGCUUGGUUUCUGAACGUUUGCUGGACUGGGAUUCCUUUCGGGGGAUUCUAACGUCGGAGCUCGUUCGUAAUGCAUUAGCAUCCUAACCUUCGAGAUCAGAUUGACUCGGCGUAAUAGACUAUUCGCUGAGGACAUGGCAUCCCUUUACUGGGGUGUGAUGGCUG
RNAcentral lists this ribosomal RNA (496 nucleotides) under Microbotryum dianthorum. Its description in RNAcentral is "eukaryotic LSU rRNA". The stretch from base 135 to 288 matches the Rfam family "5.8S ribosomal RNA". Lineage: Eukaryota; Fungi; Basidiomycota; Microbotryomycetes; Microbotryales; Microbotryaceae. The record is from RNAcentral.